RNAcentral lists this ribosomal RNA (442 nucleotides) under uncultured bacterium. Its description in RNAcentral is "bacterial SSU rRNA". It matches the Rfam family "Bacterial small subunit ribosomal RNA", at positions 30 to 473 of the family's 1533-position model. The record is from RNAcentral.
AUUGAACGCUGGCGGAAUGCUUUACACAUGCAAGUCGAACGGUAGAGGGGGCAACCCCUUUGAGAGUGGCGAACGGGUGAGUAAUAUAUCGGAACGUGCCCAGUCGUGGGGAUAACGUAGCGAAAGUUACGCUAAUACCGCAUACGAUCUAAGGAUGAAAGCGGGGGAUCGCAAGACCUCGCGCGAUUGGAGCGGCCGAUAUCAGAUUAGGUAGUUGGUGAGGUAAAGGCUCACCAAGCCAACGAUCUGUAGCUGGUCUGAGAGGACGACCAGCCACACUGGAACUGAGACACGGUCCAGACUCCUACGGGAGGCAGCAGUGGGAAUUUUGGACAAUGGACGCAAGUCUGAUCCAGCCAUUCCGCGUGCAGGAUGAAGGCCCUCCGGGUUGUUAAACUGCUUUUUAGUACGGAACGAAAAGGUUUCUAUUAAUACUAGGUAG